UUUCCGGCAGCAGGAAGAUGCGCGGCGGGUCGCCUUCGCCGGUCCAGGUCAGCGGUCGGGCCGACAACUCGCCGUCCGCGUCGGCGCCGGUGACC
RNAcentral lists this transfer RNA (95 nucleotides) under Azospirillum oryzae. Its description in RNAcentral is "tRNA-Glu". The record is from RNAcentral. Lineage: Bacteria; Pseudomonadati; Pseudomonadota; Alphaproteobacteria; Rhodospirillales; Azospirillaceae.